This 49-nucleotide transfer RNA is filed under the name Deuteronectes picturatus. Its description in RNAcentral is "partial tRNA-Ile". Lineage: Eukaryota; Metazoa; Arthropoda; Insecta; Coleoptera; Dytiscidae. The record is from RNAcentral.
UGACUAAAGGGUUAUUUUGAUAGAAUAAAUUAUGUAAUUUUAUUUACCC